RNAcentral lists this ribosomal RNA (468 nucleotides) under uncultured bacterium. RNAcentral describes it as "partial 16S ribosomal RNA". It matches the Rfam family "Bacterial small subunit ribosomal RNA", at positions 28 to 507 of the family's 1533-position model. The record is from RNAcentral.
GAUGAACGCUGGCGGCGUGCUUAACACAUGCAAGUCGAACGGUGAGGGCGGAGCUUGCUCUGCUGGAUCAGUGGCGAACGGGUGAGUAACACGUGAGCAAUCUGCCCCUGACUCUGGGAUAAGCGCUGGAAACGGCGUCUAAUACUGGAUACGAGCUGCGAAGGCAUCUUCAGCAGCUGGAAAGAAUUUCGGUCAGGGAUGAGCUCGCGGCCUAUCAGCUUGUUGGUGAGGUAAUGGCUCACCAAGGCGUCGACGGGUAGCCGGCCUGAGAGGGUGACCGGCCACACUGGGACUGAGACACGGCCCAGACUCCUACGGGAGGCAGCAGUGGGGAAUAUUGCACAAUGGGCGAAAGCCUGAUGCAGCAACGCCGCGUGAGGGACGACGGCCUUCGGGUUGUAAACCUCUUUUAGCAGGGAAGAAGCGAAAGUGACGGUACCUGCAGAAAAAGCGCCGGCUAACUACGUG